CCUACGGGCGGCAGCAGUGAGGAAUAUUGGUCAAUGGGCGCGAGCCUGAACCAGCCAAGUCGCGUGAGGGAGGACGGCCCUACGGGUUGUAAACCUCUUUUGCCGGGGAGCAACGGGCGUCACGUGUGGCGCCACUGAGAGUACCCGGAGAAAAAGCAUCGCCUAACUCCUGGCCAGCAGCCUCGGUAAUACGGAGGUUGCGAGGUUUAUCCGGAUUUAUGGGGUUUAAAGGGGGCGUAGGCGGAUCGUUAAGUGAGUGGUCAAAUUGAGGGGCUCAACCCCUUCCCGCCAUUGAAACUGGCGCUCUUGAGUGGAAGAGAAGUAUGCGGAAUGCGUGGUGUAGCGGUGAAAUGCAUAGAUAUCACGCAGAACCCCGAUUGCGAAGGCAGCAUGCCGGCUUCCGACUGACGCUGAAGCACGAAAGCGUGGGGAUCGAACAGGAUUAGAUACCCGAGUAGUC
RNAcentral lists this ribosomal RNA (460 nucleotides) under uncultured bacterium. RNAcentral's name for it is "partial 16S ribosomal RNA". It matches the Rfam family "Bacterial small subunit ribosomal RNA", at positions 338 to 795 of the family's 1533-position model. The record is from RNAcentral.